UUGGCGGACGGGUGAGAAAUGUCUGGGAAACUGCCUGAUGGAGGGGGAUAACUACUGGAAACGGUAGCUAAUACCGCAUAACGUCGCAAGACCAAAGAGGGGGACCUUCGGGCCUCUUGCCAUCGGAUGUGCCCAGAUGGGAUUAGCUAGUAGGUGGGGUAACGGCUCACCUAGGCGACGACCCCUAGCUGGUCUGAGAGGAUGACCAGCCACACCGGAACUGAGACACGGUCCAGACUCCUACGGGAGGCAGCAGUGGGGAAUAUUGCGCAAUGGGCGCAAGCCUGAUGCAGCCAUGCCGCGUGUAUGAAGAAGGCCUUCGGGUUGUAAAGUACUUUCAGCGGGGAGGAAGGGAGUAAAGUUAAUACCUUUGCUCAUUGACGUUACCCGCAGAAGAAGCACCGGCUAACUCCGUGCCAGCAGCCGCGGUAAU
This 433-nucleotide ribosomal RNA is filed under the name uncultured Escherichia sp. RNAcentral's name for it is "bacterial SSU rRNA". It matches the Rfam family "Bacterial small subunit ribosomal RNA", at positions 95 to 524 of the family's 1533-position model. Lineage: Bacteria; Pseudomonadati; Pseudomonadota; Gammaproteobacteria; Enterobacterales; Enterobacteriaceae. The record is from RNAcentral.